Molecule: long non-coding RNA, 2151 nt
Filed under: Homo sapiens (human)
Lineage: Eukaryota; Metazoa; Chordata; Mammalia; Primates; Hominidae
Description: non-protein coding SOX2-OT:75
Rfam family: SOX2 overlapping transcript exon 3 (bases 564-839)
Source: RNAcentral
GGGGACGCGGAGGAGAAGGAAAGUCGCUCAAGCAGUGGACAGAGCGGAGAAAGCGACUUCGGGUUGGUUGAAGGGUCUGCUGGAGUUUGCUGGAGGUGCACUCCAGACUCUGUUUGCCUGCCUAUCACCAACAGAGGCUGCAGAACAGCAAAGAUUGCUGUCUGUAACUUCCUCUGGAAGCUUCAUCCCAGAGGGGCACCUGCCAGAUGCCAGCCGGAGCUCUCCUCUAUGAGUGAAUGAAGGAGGGAAGAAAGGAGAGACAGAGAAAAUAUGGAUUUCCUCAUGGUUGUGAUUCCUCUUCACUCUUUUGAAUUUGGAAGGAUGGCAUACACAUCUGAAAAAUACCACUACUUCCUUCAUUGGACUGCAAGGUAUUUCUGUUUGGAAAAGUAAUGGAGUCCAGUCAACUUCAUUGAUCGCCAAGGACUGUCAAAAUUAUAAAACUUGCUGUGGAGCUCUGACAUGCCAGAAGCCGCUAGAAAAAGAAGUUUGACAUUCAGAAACUUAUCAAGAGGUUCUACUCUUUGGAUAGAGACCAAAAUCAUACUUUGAAGGGAUUGCAGUGGCAAAGCUAGGCUAGGUCUUGGAGGCUGGUGUAAGGCGAUGUGGGUGAAGGCAGGAGGCUGAUGGAAAGACUGGGGGGAAGAAAAGCCGAAAUGGAUUCACGGUGCCUUGGAUGAAGGACGAGAGGGGAACUGCAAGCUCCUUCAACUGGUUCUGUCCGGUGAGAAGUGAUCAAGCUUGGGCUGACAAGAGGCUCAGGGAGCCCUCACGUUCUUUCGCUUUUUUACCUGCCAAUCAAACUGCUACAAGACAACACCCUGAUCUGGCAUGGACAUCGCGGGUCCAAGCCUGUAGCCCCAAAUCGGAUAAUCUCUGCAGCUGAUAACAAGCAAAAGAGAAGCCAGGCAACAGCCAUAUUAAAGAAGAAAACAAUCAACUCUGAGAUCCAACUUAGAAAUAAUGUUUCAUUCAAGAUAAGGCUCGUGGCUUAGGAGAUUGUGACCUGGCUUGCAUCAUUCUAAGACUUCUAUCGUCUGUUUUCAAAACCCAAGGAGGACCUCCUUUUCUGUGUGAUAGUUCCUCAUGCUUUGCCAGCCACUGGGUCUUUAAGGAAGCUUGCCAAGAGUUCCCGGCUGGGAAGGACAGUUCGAGUUCAUCAUAGACAAUGAGCUGGCACCACAGUUUAAGUGACUCACCAACCUGGUUGCCCACUUCAAAAUGUCAAGAACCACACUAUCUAAUUGAAAGAACUGUGUUUUAGCAAAGUGUAAUUGGAUCGCCUGGCAAGAUCAUCUCAAACUAUGUCUCUGACCUUGCCUUUCAGUGGCUAUUUUGAGCACAAGAGGAGAAAGGAAAUGAUUCCUGAAUUAUAUCUUGUUUUUAAAAAUUAAGAUUAAUUAAUACUUGGUUUUAUGUUCAUUCCAUUGUAGGAACUUAGUGAUUAUUACAAAACAGUCAAAAUAGGUCAUAGCAAAAUGAACGUUUAAGAUUAGGUUAAAACAUUCCUCUGAAAUUUUAGUAUUCACUUUUGAAGUGUCAAUUACUAUAUUUCUGUAAUUUCUCAUUUUUUUCUUGGCUUAGAGUCAAGAUGAAAAAUGAUAUUUGAAUCAAAGACAUUGUUUUGUUAUAUAGCCACUCCUUUCUAAAAUGCAAAUCCACCCUCCCCUCACCAAUGCUUUAUUCUUUGUGCGCGCACACACACACACACACACACACACACACACACACACACACAGACAUACACAGAACCAGCACCCAAAUGGUAGAGGAGGUCCUUCCAAGACUUCUAGGACCUGGAUCAUGUAAGCAGUAGAUGAGAAAAUGAAGUAAGAGAUAUAGAGUAAUAACAAUAAAAGUCAAUGAUUUCAUUUUACAAAAAAGUCAUUGUGUAGUACUCAGAUAUUUUUAAGAGCAAGUAUUAUUAUGACUAAAGUAUAUUAUACUUCUAAAUUAUUAUGAUUCUCAUCUAAUUUCAAGCCACACAUAGGCGCCAUUUGAAAGCAUUUUGUGUUACAACCUAUCAACAAAAAUCAACUAAUAGUUUUAUAACGUGCAUAGGUUUACCCCAUGGGGAAUUAAAAUUUUUAUCUGCAAGUAUUUCUGUUGUUGUGAGACUUUAGGACAAGACAACAUUUGGUGUUAACAUAG